AACGAACGCUGGCGGCAUGCCUAACACAUGCAAGUCGAACGCGACCUUCGUGUCUUGUGGCGCACGUGGGCGUACCACGUGGUAACCUGCCCUUAGGUUCGGAAUCCCUCCCCGUAAGGGAUGCUCAUGCCGGAUAAUGUCUUCUUGGCUAAGAUUUCUCGCCUUUGGAUGGGCCUGCGUUGGAUUAGCUAGUUGGUACGGGAAACGCAGAUCAUGGCCUCGAUGCCUAGCUUGUAUGAUACGAUGAUCCUCCACACUGGGACUGCGACACGGACUACACUCCUACGGGAGGCAGGAGUGGGGAAUACUGGACACUGGGCGAAGGCGUGAAGCAGCCAUGUCGCGUGAGUGAUGAAGGCCGUAGGGUUCUAAAGCUCUUUUACCCGGGACGAUAAUGACAGUACCGGGAGAAGAAGCGCCGGCUAACUCCGUG
This 433-nucleotide ribosomal RNA is filed under the name uncultured bacterium. RNAcentral describes it as "partial 16S ribosomal RNA". It matches the Rfam family "Bacterial small subunit ribosomal RNA", at positions 29 to 507 of the family's 1533-position model. The record is from RNAcentral.